Molecule: ribosomal RNA, 492 nt
Filed under: uncultured bacterium
Lineage: Bacteria
Description: partial 16S ribosomal RNA
Rfam family: Bacterial small subunit ribosomal RNA
Source: RNAcentral
AGUGAACGCUGGCGGUAGGCCUAACACAUGCAAGUCGAACGGCAGCACAGUAAGAGCUUGCUCUUACGGGUGGCGAGUGGCGGACGGGUGAGGAAUACAUCGGAAUCUACUUUUUCGUGGGGGAUAACGUAGGGAAACUUACGCUAAUACCGCAUACGACCUACGGGUGAAAGCAGGGGAUCUUCGGACCUUGCGCGAUUGAAUGAGCCGAUGUCGGAUUAGCUAGUUGGCGGGGUAAAGGCCCACCAAGGCGACGACCCGUAGCUGGUCUGAGAGGAUGGUCAGACACACUGGAACUGAGACACGGUCCAGACUCCUACGGGAGGCAGCAGUGGGGAAUAUUGGGCAAUGGGGGAAAGCCUGAUCCAGCCAUACCGCGUGGGUGAAGAAGGCCUUCGGGUUGUAAAGCCCUUUUGUUGGGAAAGAAAAGCAGCAGGUUAAUACCCCGCUGUUCUGACGGUACCCAAAGAAUAAGCACCGGCUAACUUCGUG